UUUACUUACUCCGUGAAUCGG
Molecule: small RNA, 21 nt
Filed under: Arabidopsis thaliana (thale cress)
Lineage: Eukaryota; Viridiplantae; Streptophyta; Magnoliopsida; Brassicales; Brassicaceae
Description: snRNA_13802
Source: RNAcentral